Molecule: long non-coding RNA, 1041 nt
Organism: Astatotilapia calliptera (eastern happy)
Lineage: Eukaryota; Metazoa; Chordata; Actinopteri; Cichliformes; Cichlidae
Source: Ensembl
AAUAAAUCACUUGCUACACUGGACAGCAUCAGUCUCCUGCACUUCUUUGACCGCUUAAGUCGAGUCCUACCACAUUCAACAUCGCUUGAAAAAACUACCAGCUAGCAACGUCCCUCUCACCGACCCAGAGCCUGAAGCAGACAUUGAGGGCACUCAGGCCCGGACAUCCACAGGCCCCCCAGAUUGCGAAAGCCCAAGGAGAACCAACGGAGAAGCAACUGUGCUACCUUCCCGGAAAGAGCUGAGGAGAGCCUCAGACAUGGGGUCACCCAGCAGCCACGGUGCAGACGCCACUGCGGGCUGCACUGAUGAGCCCGCGGGGUCUGCUGGCAGUCAGUCCCGCCAGAGAGAAUCGAGCCCCAGUCCCAGAAGCCCGAAGUCUGAGGGCACCCCACCCCCGGAUGGUGCCCAACCCAGCCACGGGCACCAGGCCCUGCUAAGCUGCCGCUGGGAGUGAGCCGGGUACAUACCUGAGCGCCCAGCCCUGGACACCGAGAACCACCAACGCACCGACAGCUGUGGGUGACAGCCACCGGCAGGGAGUGUGGUGGGUGGAGACAGGCCUCCACACCUUGGGAAGGCCCAAGAUGGUGGAGACUCAACCUGAAACAUAGACAUAUGGCAGGAAAUUUUGACCUAUAGGUAUGGAACCCAUGAAUGUUAGCAGUAUUACAAGAGGUCUGGAAAGCAAAGGGGUAGUUCAAAGCAGAGUAGAGAUUGCAAAAAGGCUCAAGGGCCAUUGGAGGCCAGGAGGGCACAGAGACACUGAGAUAAAACAUUAAAACAGGCUGAAGUUAAGAGAGAGAAGGAGAGCCUUUGAUAGAUUCAAAGCUGAUGUGCAAGGAGUGAGAAGAGCCUGCUCUAAUGUGCAGGCUGCUGAUUGCCAGCACAGAGCAGAGAGCCUGUGAUAGGGCUGAGAGUUUGGCAAAGGUCAGGAGAGAAAGGAGUGUCUGUAUUAAAGUUCAAGGCCUCUGAAGGCCAAGACAAAGCCAGAACAUGAAAUGAGGGAGAGUAGAGGGCCUGCUUUAAGACAGAGUUGCA